Molecule: ribosomal RNA, 253 nt
Filed under: uncultured bacterium
Lineage: Bacteria
Description: partial 16S ribosomal RNA
Rfam family: Bacterial small subunit ribosomal RNA
Source: RNAcentral
UACGGGGGGGGCAAGCGUUGUUCGGAAUUACUGGGCGUAAAGGGCUCGUAGGCGGCCAACUAAGUCGGAUGUGAAAUCCCCAGGCUUAACCUGGGAACUGCGUCUGAUACUGGAUGGCUUGAAUUCGGGAGAGGGAUGCAGAAUUCCAGGUGUAGCGGUGAAAUGCGUAGAUAUCUGGAGGAACACCGGUGGCGAAGGCGGCAUCCUGGACCAACACUGACGCUGAGGAGCGAAAGCCAGGGGAGCAAACGGG